RNAcentral lists this ribosomal RNA (253 nucleotides) under uncultured bacterium. Its description in RNAcentral is "partial 16S ribosomal RNA". It matches the Rfam family "Bacterial small subunit ribosomal RNA", at positions 524 to 776 of the family's 1533-position model. The record is from RNAcentral.
UACGGGGGGGGCAAGCGUUGUUCGGAAUUACUGGGCGUAAAGGGCUCGUAGGUGGCCAACUAAGUCAGACGUGAAAUCCCUCGGCUUAACCGGGGAACUGCGUCUGAUACUGGAUGGCUUGAGUUCGGGAGAGGGAUGCGGAAUUCCAGGUGUAGCGGUGAAAUGCGUAGAUAUCAGGAGGAACACCAGCGGCGAAGGCGGCGCUCUGGGCCGGUACUGACGCUGAGGAGCGAAAGCGUGGGUAGCAAACAGG